UAAAUUAGCAAGGGAUUUCGAUGAAAAUACCUCUCCACUUUUUCCUCAUCCAUUUUAAAACCUUCAACUUAAUUAUGUAAUUAAACACCAAAACCACUGAGAAUAAAAAAUAAUCAAAAAACGUAACAAACACGACAAAAAAAUCGGCCGAUGGUAUACAGAAAGCCGGAACUUUCCGGACGGCAAAGAAAGAUGGCGAAAAAAGAUUGAAAUCACUCUCUCUCUAAAGAAUUCUAGAGAGAUAAGAGAGAGGAUUCUCAGUUUUCCAAUUUAAUUUUUGAUAGAAAAAUAUCUCAACU
This 299-nucleotide small RNA is filed under the name Arabidopsis thaliana (thale cress). RNAcentral's name for it is "ATSL102240". Lineage: Eukaryota; Viridiplantae; Streptophyta; Magnoliopsida; Brassicales; Brassicaceae. The record is from RNAcentral.